This 406-nucleotide ribosomal RNA is filed under the name uncultured bacterium. RNAcentral's name for it is "partial 16S ribosomal RNA". It matches the Rfam family "Bacterial small subunit ribosomal RNA", at positions 30 to 526 of the family's 1533-position model. The record is from RNAcentral.
AUUGAACGCUGGCGGCAGGCCUAACACAUGCAAGUCGAGCGAGCGGCGGACGGGUGAGUAAUGCCUAGGUAUCUGCCUCGUAGUGGGGGAUAACGUCCGGAAACGGGCGCUAAUACCGCAUACUAUCAGAUGAGCCUAGGGGGGAUUAGCUAGUAGGUGGGGUAACGGCUCACCUAGGCGACGAUCCCUAGCUGGUCUGAGAGGAUGACCAGCCACACGGGAACUGAGACACGGGCCAGACUCCUACGGGAGGCAGCAGUGGGGAAUAUUGCACAAUGGGCGCAAGCCUGAUGCAGCCAUGCCGCGUGUAUGAAGAAGGCCUUCGGGUUGUAAAGUACUUUCAGCGAGGAGGCGUUACUCGCAGAAGAAGCACCGGCUAACUCCGUGCCAGCAGCCGCGGUAAUAC